UGCGCAGGCGGGCUUGUAAGUCAGUGGUGAAAUCUUGCCGCUUAACGGUAAAAUUGCCAUUGAUACUGCAAGUCUUGAAUAUGGUUGAGGUAGGCGGAAUGUGUCGUGUAGCGGUGAAAUGCAUAGAUAUGACACAGAACACCAAUUGCGAAGGCAGCUUACUAAGCCAUUAUUGACGCUGGGGCACGAAAGCGUGGGGAGCGAACAGGAUUAGAUACCCUGGUAGUCC
RNAcentral lists this ribosomal RNA (229 nucleotides) under uncultured bacterium. Its description in RNAcentral is "partial 16S ribosomal RNA". It matches the Rfam family "Bacterial small subunit ribosomal RNA", at positions 568 to 796 of the family's 1533-position model. The record is from RNAcentral.